CACGGUACGACUGGACAGAACUCUUUAAGCAGGGCUGCUAGUGGAAAAAAUUCACUAGCCUCUUUAGAAUUGUAGCUUGUGGUGCAGAUAAUUCUGAAAGCUUUGAAAAUGUUUUUGUUUUUGUUUAUGGCAAAUUGAACAAUUGUUCACACUAUCUUAUCUCUUCUAUAAAUAGAAAACAUAGGAGGUGAAGGAAGCCACAGAUUGUUGCCACCGGUGAAGCAUCGUCGAUCCUCUACACUGCUGCUGCUGCCUACUCAGAUUCAGAUUGGUUUCGGUAAUGUCUCGGACUCAAGAAUCAGUAUCUGUUAGAAAAGGCAAAAAUCUGAGUUCUGGCACCACAUUGUUAUCCAAAACCAGAUUGGCUGCACUCUGGUUGAGGAGUAGGACUAAUUAAUAAUGGUCAUGGAUAAUAGGGUAUAAUCAUCACAAGAAUUUCUCAUACCUGCUUCUUCCUGCAAUGACAGAGCAAGCUCAAGUUGCACCUCCACUUUACCCAUUGCCGGCCGCUCAUCUGGAUCAAACUUCAAGCAUCUUUCUGUGAUAUCAAUAAAUACUUCCCAACACUCUGGUGCAAUCUUGCCUUUGAUAUUCGGAUCAAUAUUCUCCUCAACAGGGUGCUUCUGCCUCUUGUCAACAUUUUUAAGCUUGUCUUUGCAUACUACUUCUAGUAGCACUACACCAAAGGAGUAAACAUCGCAUUUUUCUGUUAAUGUCUUGUUUUCUGAAAUCUCAGGAGCUACAUAACCACAUGUACCUAUAAGUGAAAGUAUCAGUUAAACUAUUCAGUAAAAUUUUUUUCAGUAAACUAACAACAAAACAAAAAUAAAUACCUA
Molecule: long non-coding RNA, 836 nt
Organism: Glycine soja
Lineage: Eukaryota; Viridiplantae; Streptophyta; Magnoliopsida; Fabales; Fabaceae
Exons: 3
Source: RefSeq, a predicted model, not a curated record